CCUACGGGAGGCAGCAGUGGGGAAUAUUGGGCAAUGGGCGCAAGCCUGACCCAGCAAUGCCGCGUGAAGGAAGAAGGCUUUCGGGUUGUAAACUUCUUUGACAGGGGAAGAGCAGAAGACGGUACCCUGAAAACAAGCCACGGCUAACGACGUGCCAGCAGCCGCGGUAAUACGUAGGUGGCAAGCGUUGUCCGGAUUUACUGGGUGUAAAGGGCGUGUAGCCGGGAAGGCAAGUCAGAUGUGAAAUCUGGAGGCUCAACCUCCAAAUUGCAUUUGAAACUGUUUUUCUUGAGUACUGGAGAGGCAGACGGAAGUCCUUGUGUAGCGGUGAAAUGCGUAGAGAUAAGGAGGAACACCAGUGGCGAAGGCGGUCUGCUGGACAGCCACUGACGGUGAGGCGCGAAAGCGUGGGGAGCAAACAGGAUUAGAUACCCGUGUAGUC
RNAcentral lists this ribosomal RNA (442 nucleotides) under uncultured bacterium. RNAcentral's name for it is "partial 16S ribosomal RNA". It matches the Rfam family "Bacterial small subunit ribosomal RNA", at positions 338 to 795 of the family's 1533-position model. The record is from RNAcentral.